Molecule: ribosomal RNA, 481 nt
Filed under: uncultured Glomus
Lineage: Eukaryota; Fungi; Glomeromycota; Glomeromycetes; Glomerales; Glomeraceae
Description: SSU rRNA
Rfam family: Eukaryotic small subunit ribosomal RNA
Source: RNAcentral
AGCAGCCGCGGUAAUUCCAGCUCCAAUAGCGUAUAUUAAAGUUGUUGCAGUUAAAAAGCUCGUAGUUGAAUUUCGGGAUCAAUAUAUCGGUCGUGCCUUGGUACGUACUGGUAUCAUUGGUUUCUCCUUUCUGACGAACCAUGAUGUCAUUAAUUUGGUGUUAUGGGAAGUCAGGACUGUUACUUUGAAAAAAUUAGAGCGUUUAAAAGCAGGCUCACGCUUGAAUACAUUAGCAUGGAAUAAUGAAAUAGGACGUUUGAUUCUAUUUUGUUGGUUUCUAGGAUCGACGUAAUGAUUAAUAGGGAUAGUUGGGGGCAUUAGUAUUCAAUUGUCAGAGGUGAAAUUCUUGGAUUUAUUGAAGACUAACUACUGCGAAAGCAUUUGCCAAGGAUGUUUUCAUUAAUCAAGAACGAAAGUUAGGGGAUCGAAGACGAUCAGAUACCGUCGUAGUCUUAACCAUAAACUAUGCCGACUAGGGAUC